RNAcentral lists this ribosomal RNA (484 nucleotides) under uncultured bacterium. Its description in RNAcentral is "partial 16S ribosomal RNA". It matches the Rfam family "Bacterial small subunit ribosomal RNA", at positions 30 to 507 of the family's 1533-position model. The record is from RNAcentral.
AUUGAACGCUGGCGGCAGGCCUAACACAUGCAAGUCGAGCGGAUGAAGGGAGCUUGCUCCUGGAUUCAGCGGCGGACGGGUGAGUAAUGCCUAGGAAUCUGCCUGGUAGUGGGGGAUAACGUCCGGAAACGGGCGCUAAUACCGCAUACGUCCUGAGGGAGAAAGUGGGGGAUCUUCGGACCUCACGCUAUCAGAUGAGCCUAGGUCGGAUUAGCUAGUUGGUGGGGUAAAGGCCUACCAAGGCGACGAUCCGUAACUGGUCUGAGAGGAUGAUCAGUCACACUGGAACUGAGACACGGUCCAGACUCCUACGGGAGGCAGCAGUGGGGAAUAUUGGACGAUGGGCGAAAGCCUGAUCCAGCUAUGCCGCGUGUGUGAAGAAGGUCUUCGGAUUGUAAAGCACUUUAAGUUGGGAGGAAGGGCAGUAAGUUAAUACCUUGCUGUUUUGACGUUACCAACAGAAUAAGCACCGGCUAACUUCGUG